CUACGGGAGGCAGCAGUGAGGAAUAUUGCACAAUGGGGGGAACCCUGAUGCAGCAACGCCGCGUGGAGGAUGACGCAUUUCGGUGUGUAAACUCCUUUUAUAUGUCAAGAAAAUGACGGUAGCAUAUGAAUAAGCACCGGCUAACUUCGUGCCAGCAGCCGCGGUAAUACGAGGGGUGCAAGCGUUAUUCGGAAUUACUGGGUGUAAAGGGUGUGUAGGCGGUUUAUCAAGUCUGUUGUUAAAUCUUUCAGCCUAACUUAAAGCUUGCAGUGGAAACUGGUUUACUAGAGAGCGGAAGAGAGAGAUGGAAUUCUCGGAGUAGCGGUAAAAUGCGUGGAUCUCGAGAGGAACACCGAUGGCGAAGGCAGUCUCUUGGUCCGUUUCUGACGCUGAGACACGAAAGCGUGGGGAGCAAACAGGAUUAGAUACCCUUGUAGUC
This 439-nucleotide ribosomal RNA is filed under the name uncultured bacterium. Its description in RNAcentral is "partial 16S ribosomal RNA". It matches the Rfam family "Bacterial small subunit ribosomal RNA", at positions 339 to 795 of the family's 1533-position model. The record is from RNAcentral.